This 577-nucleotide small RNA is filed under the name Pan troglodytes (chimpanzee). RNAcentral's name for it is "processed transcript". Lineage: Eukaryota; Metazoa; Chordata; Mammalia; Primates; Hominidae. The record is from RNAcentral.
AAAAAUGAAAACCUUGUUCUUUCUAGUUAGUACAUGUUCUGUUAGUAUAAAUUUAUAGUGACAGAACUAAUAAAACUCUAGGACCUUGCCCUAAGAGUACAUGUAACAUAAUAUAAGAUGGGGAAACCAAGACAAGGACACACAGUAUCAUGGCUGACCAAAAAGCCCAUGUACUUACCCUGCUGUACAAACUUUUGGGAUUUUAGUGAUGAAGAGGAACAAAUUGGCUUAUGCAUCUGGAUGUGACAUUGUAAUACUGGGAAGCGAUUUUGAAAGAUUACAGAUAAUCCCAGGAGCUAAACAUGGAAAUAUUCAAGUGGGAUGUGUAGACUGUUCAAUGCAACAAGGCAAGAUUGCAGCGUCUUAUGGAAAUGUUAUCUCCAUUUUUGAACCAGUUAACCUACCAAAACAAAAGAAAAAUUUGUAUUCUUGUGAGGUGGUGGUCUUCAUGAGAGUUGCACAUCACAACUACCAUUGGAUACAUGUGCCCAAAUCCUGCUCUGGGAAUUUCUAAAUCUGUAGCUGUGGGAUUGUGUCUAUGCACUUAUAUGUCUUGUUCUAGAGAGGGUUCUGGUAU